AGGAUGAACGCUGGCGGCGUGCCUAAUACAUGCAAGUCGAACGAGUCCUUCGGGACGAGUGGCGGACGGGUGAGUAACACGUUGGUACCUACCCCGAAGUGGGGAAUAACUGCCCGAAAGGGUGGCUAAUACCGCAUAAUACCGCAAGGUUAAAGCAGUAAUGCGCUUCGGGAGGGGCCUGCGUCCCAUUAGCUAGUUGGUAGGGUAAUGGCCUACCAAGGCGACGAUGGGUAGCUGGAUCGAGAGGUUGACCAGCCACACUGGGACUGAGAUACGGCCCAGACUCCUACGGGAGGCAGCAGUAAGGAAUCUUCCACAAUGGACGAAAGUCUGAUGGAGCAACGCCGCGUGCAGGAUGACGGUCUUCGGAUUGUAAACUGCUUUUAUAUGGGAAGAUUAUGACGGUACCAUAUGAAUAAGGACCGGCUAACUACGUAGCCAGCAGCCGC
RNAcentral lists this ribosomal RNA (449 nucleotides) under uncultured bacterium. RNAcentral describes it as "SSU rRNA". It matches the Rfam family "Bacterial small subunit ribosomal RNA", at positions 26 to 518 of the family's 1533-position model. The record is from RNAcentral.